AACGAACGCUGGCGGCAUGCCUAACACAUGCAAGUCGAACGAGAACUGCGGGUAUAGUGGCGCACGGGUGAGUAACGCGUGGGAACCUGCCCUUAGGUUCGGAAUAACCCCCCGAAAGGGGUGCAAAUCCCGGAUAAUGUCCUCGGACCACAGAUUUAUCGACUUUGGAUGGGCCCGCGUUGGAUUAGCUAGUUGGUAGGGUAAAAGCCUACCAAGGCGACGAGCCAUAGCUGGUCUGAGAGGAUGAUCAGCCACACUGGGACUGAGACACGGCCCAGACUCCUACGGGAGGCAGCAGUGGGGAAUAUUGGACAAUGGGCGAAAGCCUGAUCCAGCAAUGCCGCGUGAGUGAUGAAGGCCUUAGGGUUGUAAAGCUCUUUUACCCGGGAUGAUAAUGACAGUACCGGGAGAAUAAGCUCCGGCUAACUCCGUG
This 433-nucleotide ribosomal RNA is filed under the name uncultured bacterium. RNAcentral's name for it is "partial 16S ribosomal RNA". It matches the Rfam family "Bacterial small subunit ribosomal RNA", at positions 29 to 507 of the family's 1533-position model. The record is from RNAcentral.